This 205-nucleotide unclassified non-coding RNA is filed under the name soil metagenome. RNAcentral's name for it is "partial contains 5.8S ribosomal RNA, internal transcribed spacer 2, and large subunit ribosomal RNA". The record is from RNAcentral.
AACACUGUUAACCUGCGGUACCUGCGGAGGGAUCAUUACCGAGUUUACAACUCCCAAACCCCUGUGAACAUACCAAUUGUUGCCUCGGCGGAUCAGCCCGCUCCCGGUAAAACGGGACGGCCCGCCAGAGGACCCCUAAACUCUGUUUCUAUAUGUAACUUCUGAGUAAAACCAUAAAUAAAUCAAAACUUUCAGCAAUGGAUCU